Molecule: ribosomal RNA, 301 nt
Filed under: uncultured bacterium
Lineage: Bacteria
Description: partial 16S ribosomal RNA
Rfam family: Bacterial small subunit ribosomal RNA
Source: RNAcentral
CAGUAGCCGCGGGAAUACGAAGGGGGCUAGCGUUGCUCGGAAUGACUGGGCGUAAAGGGCGCGUAGGCGGCGAUCAAAGUCAGGCGUGAAAUUCCUGGGCUCAACCUGGGGGCUGCGUUUGAUACUUGAUUGCUAGAGUGGGGAAGAGGGUCGUGGAAUUCCCAGUGUAGAGGUGAAAUUCGCAGAUAUUGGGAAGAACACCGGUGGCGAAGGCGGCGACCUGGUCCUUGACUGACGCUGAGGCGCGAAAGCGUGGGGAGCAAACAGGAUUAGAUACCCCUGUAGUCCCUGUCUCUUAUAC